Molecule: long non-coding RNA, 237 nt
Organism: Cololabis saira (Pacific saury)
Lineage: Eukaryota; Metazoa; Chordata; Actinopteri; Beloniformes; Belonidae
Exons: 3
Source: RefSeq, a predicted model, not a curated record
AGGUGACGCAGCAGACUGAGACAGUUACUCAGUUAAUCACCUAGUUGAGUUGGUUUCCCAGUUUGUGUGUGUCCAUUACCACAAGUUCCUCACCUAGUGAGGAAAAUGGUUGUGAUGUUGAUGAUGAAGAGGCUCCUCAGACACAGACUGCCCCACCUGGACCUCACCAUCUCUCCCAGUCCAGAGCAGCAGGUCCAACAGUCUCAUCUGAAGGUAUUUCCUGGGACCUGCAAGGAA